CCUACGGGUGGCAGCAGUGGGGAAUAUUGCACAAUGGGGGAAACCCUGAUGCAGCCACGCCGCGUGAGUGAUGACGGCCCUCGGGUUGUUAAGCUCCUUCUUCAGGGACGAAAAUGACGGUACCUGUGGAGGAAGCCACGGCUAACCACGUGCCAGCAGCCGCGGUAAUACGGAGGUGGCGAGCGUUGUCCGGAUUUACUGGGCGUAAAGGGAGCGUAGGCGGACUUUUAAGUGAGAUGUGAAAUAGUCGGGCUCAACUUGAGUGCUGCAUUUCAAACUGGAAGUCUAGAGUGCAGGAGAGGAAAAUGGAAUGCCUAGUGUAGCGGUGAAAUGCGUAGAGAUUAGGAAGAACACCAGUGGCGAAGGCGAUUCUCUGGACUGUAACUGACGCUGAGGCUCGAAAGCGUGGGGAGCAAACAGGAUUAGAUACCCCUGUAGUC
This 440-nucleotide ribosomal RNA is filed under the name uncultured bacterium. RNAcentral's name for it is "partial 16S ribosomal RNA". It matches the Rfam family "Bacterial small subunit ribosomal RNA", at positions 338 to 795 of the family's 1533-position model. The record is from RNAcentral.